This 566-nucleotide ribosomal RNA is filed under the name uncultured bacterium. RNAcentral describes it as "bacterial SSU rRNA". It matches the Rfam family "Bacterial small subunit ribosomal RNA", at positions 338 to 916 of the family's 1533-position model. The record is from RNAcentral.
CCUACGGGAGGCAGCAGUGGGGAAUAUUGCACAAUGGGCGGAAGCCUGAUGCAGCGACGCCGCGUGAGGGAUGACGGCCUUCGGGUUGUAAACCUCUUUCAGUAGGGAAGAAGCGUAAGUGACGGUACCUGCAGAAGAAGCGCCGGCUAACUACGUGCCAGCAGCCGCGGUAAUACGUAGGGCGCAAGCGUUAUCCGGAAUUAUUGGGCGUAAAGAGCUCGUAGGCGGUUUGUCGCGUCUGCCGUGAAAGUCCGGGGCUCAACUCCGGAUCUGCGGUGGGUACGGGCAGACUAGAGUGAUGUAGGGGAGACUGGAAUUCCUGGUGUAGCGGUGAAAUGCGCAGAUAUCAGGAGGAACACCGAUGGCGAAGGCAGGUCUCUGGGCAUUAACUGACGCUGAGGAGCGAAAGCAUGGGGAGCGAACAGGAUUAGAUACCCUGGUAGUCCAUGCCGUAAACGUUGGGCACUAGGUGUGGGGGACAUUCCACGUUUUCCGCGCCGUAGCUAACGCAUUAAGUGCCCGCCUGGGGAGUACGGCCGCAAGGCAAAACUCAAAGGAAUUGACGG